GGGAGCGUGGCGGAAUGGUAGACGCAACGGACUUAGAAUCCGUUGAUAUUUUUAAUCGUGAGGGUUCAAGUCCCUCCGCUCCCA
Molecule: transfer RNA, 84 nt
Filed under: Sargassum confusum
Lineage: Eukaryota; Phaeophyceae; Fucales; Sargassaceae
Description: tRNA-Leu
Rfam family: tRNA
About the family: Transfer RNA (tRNA) molecules are approximately 80 nucleotides in length. Their secondary structure includes four short double-helical elements and three loops (D, anti-codon, and T loops).
Source: RNAcentral